This 250-nucleotide ribosomal RNA is filed under the name uncultured bacterium. Its description in RNAcentral is "partial 16S ribosomal RNA". It matches the Rfam family "Bacterial small subunit ribosomal RNA", at positions 524 to 773 of the family's 1533-position model. The record is from RNAcentral.
GACGAAGGUGGCGAGCGUUACUCGGAAUUACUAGGCGUAAAGCGUGGGUAGGUGGUUCGGUAAGUCUGUUGUGAAAGCUCCUGGCUUAACUGGGAGAGGCCAAUGGAUACUGCUGGACUUGAAUCGUGGAGAGGUCACUGGAAUUCCUGGUGUAGCGGUGAAAUGCGUAGAGAUCAGGAGGAACACCAAUGGCGAAAGCAGGUGACUGGACACGUAUUGACACUGAGCCACGAAAGCUAGGGGAGCAAAC